RNAcentral lists this long non-coding RNA (522 nucleotides) under Mytilus galloprovincialis (Mediterranean mussel). The record is from RNAcentral. Lineage: Eukaryota; Metazoa; Mollusca; Bivalvia; Mytilida; Mytilidae.
GUUUAGUUAAAUUUGCAAAAAAAGGAUUUCUUUGUUUUUAAUUGAAUUCUAAAAUAAAAUAUAAAAAAAACUUGAUUGUCAAUAGGGUACCGCAGUCAACGUUGUUGUAUUAUCUCAAUCACUAAAAAACAAACAGAUAUAUAAACAAACAUUUACCUUGACACAAUAGCACAAUGACGGGAUGUAUAAGUAAUAAGGGCCGAAUCAUAUGAAAGAACGAAACACAAAAAGGCACACAGACAAAACACUUUAACUAAACCGAAAUACAAGAAUACAGAAAUAUCAUUUAAAUAAAACACAAACAAUUGAUUAUAUCAGUCUUUGCUUCGAUAACAGCAGUAUAUCCGUAAAGGACCACAAUAUUUUUAAAAGUGAUUUGAACAGCGUCAUCCUUAUAGUACCAAUCUACAAAGUCACUUUCUAUAAACAUUUAAAAAAGAUGUCAAAUAGUUCUAUAAUAUAACAGUAGUAAUGAUGAUAAUGAAAACAAUGUUUCUGUAGAUCAAGAAGAUUUAAAGAAGA